CAAAACAAACAAACGGCCACACACUCCAACACCAACACCAACACCAACGCUUUUCUCCCUCUCUUCACUCCUCCCUCGCUUCUCCACCUCCGCCUCCCUCUCCCUCCUCCGCACCAAAAAUUCCUCUUUUUUUACCUCCCACCAAUCCUUACCGUCGCCUCCUUCUACUACUACAACCCAAUCCGGGCUGGUCCUCGGAUGGACUCGGGUCUCGACUAGCUACCUAGGCCCUGCUCGGGUGCGCGCGCCACGCCGCUAGGGUUCUUGGCCCGGGGCUUCUCCAAUGGUGCACCGCCGCUUCGCGUGGCCCUUCGGCGGCCAGCGCGCCUCCCUCUGCGGCAGCUUCACCGGGUGGAGGGAGUUCCCCAUGGGGCUCGCCGGGGCCGAGUUCCAGGUGGUGUUCGAUCUACCCCCGGGGGUUUAUCAGGUGCGUGCGUACCGAUUCUUGGUGGAUGGUGCCUGGAGAUGUGAUGACACAAAACCUAUUGUACGCGAUGAAUAUGGCAUGAUCAGCAAUGAAGUGCUUGUCACACUUGAGAAUAAUACACACCCGGUUGUGCAGCUAGAGUCAUCUUCCAAUAGAAGAAUGAAUUUGGAUGAGGGUACUAUUUUGACAACAAUGCCUACAGAACCGCCAUCUCAAAACUCUGGCGUGCAGAUUGCAGUUUUCCGCCAACGAGUCUCUGAAAUACUACUACAUAAUACCGUAUAUGAUGUUGUUCCUGUUUCUAGCAAGAUAGCAAUUUUGGAUGCUCGGCUUCCUGUCAAACAAGCAUUUAAUAUUAUGCAUGAUGAGGGCCUUGCUUUGGUUCCUCUAUGGGAUGAUGGCCAAGGAACCAUAACAGGCAUGCUAACUGCGUCUGAUUUUGUAUUAAUUUUGAGAAAGUUGCAGAGGAACAUUCGAGUUCUGGGCCAUGAAGAGCUUGAAAUGCAUUCAGUGGCUGCUUGGAAAGAAGCAAAACUACAGUAUUAUGGGGGGUCUGAUGUCGCAACCAUGCAAAGAAGGCCAUUAGUUCAUGUUAAGGAUUCGGAUAAUUUAAGGGCUGUGGCACUGUCUAUAAUACAAAAUGAAAUAUCUUCAGUCCCUAUCUUCAAAUCCUCGAUGGAUGUAUCAGGAAUGCCAAUACUUAAUCUUGCAACUCUUCCGGGGAUUUUAAAAUUUCUUUGCUCCAAGCUCCAAGAACAACCAGAAGGCUAUCCCAUUUUGCAAAAUCACAUUUCCAGUAUUCCUAUUGGUACAUGGUCGCAACAUACUGGCAGGGCAAGUAAAAGACAGCUUAGAACAUCGCGGCUGAAUGUUCCUCUAAUUACUUGCUUGGAUUUCCUGCUGGAAGAUAGAGUGAGCUCAGUUCCUAUAGUUGAUGAUAAUGGAUCCCUUCUUGAUGUCUAUGCACUCAGCGAUAUCAUGGCUCUGGCGAAGAAUGACAUUUACACUCGCAUUGAACUUGAGCAAGUGACCGUGGAGCAUAUGACACACAGCUUUGUGUUGUGAUGUUUAGUUCAUCAAAUGUCGAGAAGGAAGAAAACAGAACAUGAAGUUAUCUGUCCAUGCUGAUAUCGGAUGCCUCAUUUAAAUAUAACUUACGUUUGCAUUAAUAAUUGAAGAUCAAUAGUCCAUUAGCAUGCUUGAAACCAGAGCAUCUUUAGACGAAACCAGAGCAUCUUGAUACGCUCCACAGUGCACUUUACCAUGGUUCUUGCUAAUGCCUUGGAGCUGCAAUAUCAGGUGAAUGGACGGAGACAGUGUCAUACCUGUUUGAGUACAAGUACAUUUCUUGAGGUGCUGGAGCAAUUGUCUGUUCCAG
Lolium perenne is the source of this 1805-nucleotide non-coding RNA. Lineage: Eukaryota; Viridiplantae; Streptophyta; Magnoliopsida; Poales; Poaceae. The record is from RefSeq and is a predicted model, not a curated record.